Molecule: ribosomal RNA, 253 nt
Filed under: uncultured bacterium
Lineage: Bacteria
Description: partial 16S ribosomal RNA
Rfam family: Bacterial small subunit ribosomal RNA
Source: RNAcentral
GACAGAGGGUGCAACCGUUGCUCGGAAUUACUGGGCGUAAAGCGCGUGUAGGUGGAUUGGUGUGUCAGAUGUGAAAGCCCUGGGCUCAACCCAGGAACUGCACCUGAAACUACCAGUCUUGAGUGGUGGAGAGGGAAGUGGAAUUCCUGGUGUAGAGGUGAAAUUCGUAGAUAUCAGGAGGAACACCAGUGGCGAAGGCGGCUUCCUGGACACUAACUGACGCUGAGACGCGAAAGCGUGGGGAGCAAACAGG